Molecule: ribosomal RNA, 763 nt
Filed under: uncultured Streptococcus sp.
Lineage: Bacteria; Bacillati; Bacillota; Bacilli; Lactobacillales; Streptococcaceae
Description: bacterial SSU rRNA
Rfam family: Bacterial small subunit ribosomal RNA
Source: RNAcentral
GACGAACGCUGGCGGCGUGCCUAAUACAUGCAAGUAGAACGCUGAAGGAGGAGCUUGCUUCUCUGGAUGAGUUGCGAACGGGUGAGUAACGCGUAGGUAACCUGCCUGGUAGCGGGGGAUAACUAUUGGAAACGAUAGCUAAUACCGCAUAAUAGUAGUUGUUGCAUGACAACUGUUUGAAAGGUGCAAUUGCAUCACUACCAGAUGGACCUGCGUUGUAUUAGCUAGUUGGUGGGGUAACGGCUCACCAAGGCGACGAUACAUAGCCGACCUGAGAGGGUGAUCGGCCACACUGGGACUGAGACACGGCCCAGACUCCUACGGGAGGCAGCAGUAGGGAAUCUUCGGCAAUGGACGGAAGUCUGACCGAGCAACGCCGCGUGAGUGAAGAAGGUUUUCGGAUCGUAAAGCUCUGUUGUAAGAGAAGAACGAGUGUGAGAGUGGAAAGUUCACACUGUGACGGUAUCUUACCAGAAAGGGACGGCUAACUACGUGCCAGCAGCCGCGGUAAUACGUAGGUCCCGAGCGUUGUCCGGAUUUAUUGGGCGUAAAGCGAGCGCAGGCGGUUAGAUAAGUCUGAAGUUAAAGGCUGUGGCUUAACCAUAGUACGCUUUGGAAACUGUUUAACUUGAGUGCAAGAGGGGAGAGUGGAAUUCCAUGUGUAGCGGUGAAAUGCGUAGAUAUAUGGAGGAACACCGGUGGCGAAAGCGGCUCUCUGGCUUGUAACUGACGCUGAGGCUCGAAAGCGUGGGGAGCAAACAGG